Long non-coding RNA from Protopterus annectens (West African lungfish), 2887 nucleotides. RefSeq lists it as uncharacterized. NCBI's taxonomy places the organism in Eukaryota, Metazoa, Chordata, Ceratodontiformes, Protopteridae. The record is from RefSeq and is a predicted model, not a curated record. The transcript has 2 exons.
UUAAAUUGCAGUGCUCGUUUAUUAGUGGUGUAUUAAUACAUGGACCCCAGAUAUAAAUUACACAUACAUUAUUAGACAUGAACAAAAUUCUAGCAGCAAAGAGUGUAAUACUGUACCAUACAUAUGUUAAACAUAGUCAAUAGGCAGAAAUAAGCAAGGCCAAGAUUUAUCUGCCUUUGUAGUAAUAGACAUGCUGAUUUCAGUACUGACAACAAUUGUAUGUAAACAAUGGAAAUUAACAAGUUAUCUUACUGUUUCAUUCACAUAUUUUUUCUUAGUUAAUAACAAAUAUUGCUGUCCAUAUGGCAUAUGAAUAUGUACUCAGCCCAAUUUGUUUCAAGAAAUCUGCAAAAUGUAUAAUUGUUAAGUAAUAACCCAUACUACUGAUCUCUUUGAGUGCUAGUAGCAUUAAUGUCUCCAAUAGUUUUUCCAUUUAUUAAAGUUUAAGAGACUUUCACAGAUCACAAUUCUCAUUCAAAUAAAUUGCAUUUACAUUUAAAUUUAACAAUAAAUCCAUUCGGUAUUUAAAGAACAUAUAUGUCUUUUAGCACUAGCAGUAAUGGAGAGGCAUAAUUGUGCAAUCAGAUUUUAAUAAAUAGCAUAAUAUACACUGAACAGUAUUCAUUCUUUGGUAAAAACAAUUUUAAUUACAAAAUUUCAAAAUAAUGUCACAGUUUUCUCUGAGAAAAAAAACAUGCAUACAUCCUUUUUUGGUGUAGAAACUGAAACAAUACCAUCAAAUCUUCAGAAAAUUGUAUUUCUGCAUAACUGAAAGUUCAUGCAUGCAGAAUCUUACUGAAUAAUCUAUACAUAGAUUUAAUGUUUGCUGCAGAGGGAAACUCCUGCACUCACUAACCAGCUUCAUGUUUUUAAUGUACUAGGUUAGCAUUAAGGGAUUAUUAUUAGCACGGAGUAGUCUUGUUCCUCUCAGGUGAUGCAACAUUCACAGUUACUACUGUGAUCUGUGAGGAUGCAAGUGGGGGAAGGGGGUCACUCCCCCAUGAAACACAUUUUUAACGUAAUUUCAUAUUUUUUAUAUUGCUGCAACAUUUAAACAUUUCUUUCUGCCUUGAAUGAAGCUGAGCUCUCUUAAUUUUCUUGAUCAUUAUUUUUAAGCUUAAAACACUUGCAAAAACUUGAAUAACCUGUUACCAGUGUAAGGGCAUUAAAAAAAAAUAAAACACCAGAGCAAUACAAUUUUUAAGUCCACUUAUGAUUCCACUAUUGCUUCUACUACGAGGGGACAAAAGCAAAUACACAGAAGAUUGGAAUCUCUGAACUGCGUUCAAUGCAAAACACUUUUUAAAGUGUUUUUUUUUUCAGGGUGAGUAGCCCUCCUGCACCCCUCUGAUAUAGGGGAAAGUCUCCCUGAACUCAUAUAUGUCAACUCCAUGGUUGGAACAACUCAAAAUAGUUAGAACUUCUCCCCAAAACAGCAUCAUUGCUGAUGCAACUCAUCAACAAUGAAUUCCAAUGGAAGAAAUUCACUUGUCGAUGGUUUGAACCUCAAGCAAUUGAAGCUCAAGAGUUCAGUCUUCAUCCACAAGUAGGUUACCCUUGCAUUAUUCUGGUGUUUUUUUUUUUUGCUUUUUUUUAUCCUACUUUUCUACAUUAUGAGUUUUAGUUUGAGAAAAUUAUUUUUAUAUGGUUCUUAAACUGCAAGUUUUCUAAUGUAUAAUAACAAAGUUGUAUACCUAAUAUUCAAUUAGUAUAUUGCUAGAUUUUCUUGUCGAUAUUCUAACACACAGAAAGGCGCUUUAAUAAAGGAUCGACAACAACCUUGCUGCCAGGUUCUUAUGCAUGUCACAGUUUGCAUGUGCUAUUGCUGCUCACACUUCAAUUUGUAUUUGUUUUCAGCCAAUCAGACAAGGUGCAUCAGUCCUGCAGAGAGUGUGGAGCUGCAACACCUUUCAAACAUAUUCAAGUUUGAGAAAGGUAAAGACAGCAGCUGGGAGGAGGGGAGGGGUGGGAAUUUAGAUUAGGUUUAUUCAGUGAUCCAGACAGGACUUUAGGUUUUGAGUGCUAGAGGAGAACUUUGUUUCAUGGAAGAAGAUUUGUAAGGGUAGGGAGUAUAAUGAAAUUUAUGUUCUGGGAGUAAGAGAGGAAUUUUAAGGUUAGGGACUGACUGGGAAAAUUUAGGUUUAGGGAGUGAGAGGGAGUUUUAGGUUAAGAUUAGACAGCAAGAAAUCGGGUUAGGCAAAGGGACAAGGUGAGAGCUUUAAGGAUGGAGUUAGGGCUCUGGGAUGGAUAUGCACUUUAUUAUGGUCAGGUUGUAGGAAGGUUACGUUCUUACAAAAAUCAGUUUAGUGGGAGAUAGAGCACUUGCCAUUUAGAGCAAGUAUUAGAGCGGUUGCAUUUUACUACAAGUACAUGUGAGCACUUAUAGUAGACCCACAUUAACUUGGCAGUGCUUUAUGACUAUAUUGUUAGUUUUUCUUUUUGAUUUUGUAACAUGAAGAAAGAGUCUUCAUUGAAGUGUUAACCUGCAGAAUUUUAAGAGGUUUCUGACUGUAUACUCAGUUUAGUGUUCAACAUUCAAACUUUGUCACUGAAAAUACACAAGAAACCAUGGUUUAAGCCAGGCACAAAGCAUUAAGAAGAAAAUAUUGCUUGCACCCUACUUAGAAGACAUGAGGUCAUACUAGUCAAUCUGUAUAUAUCAACUAGACUAAUUCUGAAAUGCAACUCAGUUUUCUGUUCAUAAAUACAAACAAAAAUAAUAUAUUGGAAAUAGUGCCAAUACUUAUUUACAGAUGGGGCAAAUUAUAGCAGGCAUUCAGCAGUUUCUUAGGUUAAAACAUAACAUUUGUAAUGUGAAUUGCAACUUACAGACAUAAUAAAACUCUUCCUCAUGGAACACAAAGUUUAAGACUGAACAAAACAAAAA